CACAGGUUUGUGGUUAAAUAUUUGUGAGCUAGUCUGGUCCGGACGUCGUAGAGAGUUCAGGAUUUCACCACAUUUUCAGGGAGGUGUCGUAUACAAACAGGACCGUCGUACUCGAGAGCAGUGUUCAGUGCAUCAGCUAUCAGCAGAUUAAAUAUGAACCGGAGAGUUUCGUUUAUCUUAGUUUUACUAGCGGUGGUUUGUUCCAUUGCAGUUUCUGGACAUAACAGAAACUGCACUGCCUCCAACAGCACUGUGAUUCCUUGUCCACCGAGAAAUGGUUCCGGUAACCACGGACAUGGUUGGGAGGGAGGACCACCACCACCGAGGCCCCAGCCAGCAGUUCAACGAGGCUUCGUCACUGGACUACUUGAGAAGAGUGUCGAGAACGGAUCCGAAUAAAUAUUUUAGUAUGUCACAUACCAAUCGCAUCUAGAUUGUGAGGGUGAAAUAGAGGGAUUAUUGGUCAAAUAA
This is a long non-coding RNA of Malaya genurostris, 471 nucleotides long. RefSeq lists it as uncharacterized. Lineage: Eukaryota; Metazoa; Arthropoda; Insecta; Diptera; Culicidae. The record is from RefSeq and is a predicted model, not a curated record. The transcript is spliced from 3 exons.